This 501-nucleotide ribosomal RNA is filed under the name uncultured bacterium. Its description in RNAcentral is "partial 16S ribosomal RNA". It matches the Rfam family "Bacterial small subunit ribosomal RNA", at positions 30 to 523 of the family's 1533-position model. The record is from RNAcentral.
AUUGAACGCUGGCGGCAGGCUCAACACAUGCAAGUCGAGCGGGGGAAGGUAGCUUGCUACCGGACCUAGCGGCGGACGGGUGCGUAAUGCUUAGGAAUCUGCCUAUUAGUGGGGGACAACAUCUCGAAAGGGAUGCUAAUACCGCAUACGUCCUACGGGAGAAAGCAGGGGAUCUUCGGACCUUGCGCUAAUAGAUGAGCCUAAGUCGGAUUAGCUAGUUGGUGGGGUAAAGGCCUACCAAGGCGACGAUCUGUAGCGGGUCUGAGAGGAUGAUCCGCCACACUGGGACUGAGACACGGCCCAGACUCCCACGGGAGGCAGCAGUGGGGAAUAUUGGACAAUGGGGGGAACCCUGAUCCAGCCAUGCCGCGUGUGUGAAGAAGGCCUUAUGGUUGUAAAGCACUUUAAGCGAGGAGGAGGCUACUCUAGUUAAUACCUAGGGAUAGUGGACGUUACUCGCAGAAUAAGCACCGGCUAACUCUGUGCCAGCCGCCGCCGUAA